Molecule: ribosomal RNA, 482 nt
Filed under: uncultured bacterium
Lineage: Bacteria
Description: partial 16S ribosomal RNA
Rfam family: Bacterial small subunit ribosomal RNA
Source: RNAcentral
AUUGAACGCUGGCGGCAUGCCUUACACAUGCAAGUCGAACGGUAACAGGUCUUCGGAUGCUGACGAGUGGCGAACGGGUGAGUAAUACAUCGGAACGUGCCCAGACGUGGGGGAUAACGAGGCGAAAGCUUUGCUAAUACCGCAUACGAUCUAAGGAUGAAAGCAGGGGACCGCAAGGCCUUGUGCGUUUGGAGCGGCCGAUGGCAGAUUAGGUAGUUGGUGGGAUAAAAGCUUACCAAGCCGACGAUCUGUAGCUGGUCUGAGAGGACGACCAGCCACACUGGGACUGAGACACGGCCCAGACUCCUACGGGAGGCAGCAGUGGGGAAUUUUGGACAAUGGGCGAAAGCCUGAUCCAGCAAUGCCGCGUGCAGGAUGAAGGCCUUCGGGUUGUAGACUGCUUUUGUACGGAACGAAAAGGCUCUGGCUAAUACCUGGGGCACAUGACGGUACCGUAAGAAUAAGCACCGGCUAACUACGUG